GCAAGUCGAGCGGUAAGGCCCUUCGGGGUACACGAGCGGCGAACGGGUGAGUAACACGUGGGUGAUCUGCCUCGUAAUCUGGGAUAAGCCUGGGCAACUGGGUCUAAUACCGGAUAUGACCACGCACUGCACGGCGUGUGGUGGAAGGAUUAUUCGGUGCGAGAUGGGCCCGCGGCCUAUCAGCUUGUUGGUGGGGUAACGGCCUACCAAGGCGACGACGGGUAGCCGACCUGAGAGGGUGAUC
RNAcentral lists this ribosomal RNA (244 nucleotides) under uncultured bacterium. RNAcentral's name for it is "partial 16S ribosomal RNA". It matches the Rfam family "Bacterial small subunit ribosomal RNA", at positions 57 to 305 of the family's 1533-position model. The record is from RNAcentral.